RNAcentral lists this ribosomal RNA (855 nucleotides) under Stutzerimonas stutzeri. RNAcentral describes it as "bacterial SSU rRNA". It matches the Rfam family "Bacterial small subunit ribosomal RNA", at positions 18 to 869 of the family's 1533-position model. Lineage: Bacteria; Pseudomonadati; Pseudomonadota; Gammaproteobacteria; Pseudomonadales; Pseudomonadaceae. The record is from RNAcentral.
CCUGGCUCAGAUUGAACGCUGGCGGCAGGCCUAACACAUGCAAGUCGAGCGGAUGAAGAGAGCUUGCUCUCUGAUUCAGCGGCGGACGGGUGAGUAAUGCCUAGGAAUCUGCCUGAUAGUGGGGGACAACGUUUCGAAAGGAACGCUAAUACCGCAUACGUCCUACGGGAGAAAGCAGGGGACCUUCGGGCCUUGCGCUAUCCGAGAUGUCUAGGUCGGAUUAGCUAGUUGGUGAGGAAUGGCUCACCAAGGCGACGAUCAGUAACUGGUCUGAGAGGAUGAUCAGUCACACUGGAACUGAGACACGGUCCAGACUCCUACGGGAGGCAGCAGUGGGGAAUAUUGGACAAUGGGCGAAAGCCUGAUCCAGCCAUGCCGCGUGUGUGAAGAAGGUCUUCGGAUUGUAAAGCACUUUAAGUUGGGAGGAAGGGCAUUAACCUAAUACGUUAGUGUUUUGACGUUACCGACAGAAUAAGCACCGGCUAACUUCGUGCCAGCAGCCGCGGUAAUACGAAGGGUGCAAGCGUUAAUCGGAAUUACUGGGCGUAAAGCGCGCGUAGGUGGUUUGUUAAGUUGAAUGUGAAAGCCCCGGGCUCAACCUGGGAACUGCAUCCAAAACUGGCAAGCUAGAGUAUGGCAGAGGGUGGUGGAAUUUCCUGUGUAGCGGUGAAAUGCGUAGAUAUAGGAAGGAACACCAGUGGCGAAGGCGACCACCUGGGCUAAUACUGACACUGAGGUGCGAAAGCGUGGGGAGCAAACAGGAUUAGAUACCCUGGUAGUCCACGCCGUAAACGAUGUCGACUAGCCGUUGGGAUCCUUGAGAUCUUAGUGGCGCACGUAACGCAUUAAGUCGAC